Non-coding RNA from Gossypium raimondii (Peruvian cotton), 117 nucleotides. Lineage: Eukaryota; Viridiplantae; Streptophyta; Magnoliopsida; Malvales; Malvaceae. The record is from Rfam.
AGCUGUGCUGUGAGCGCAAAGCGAACUAUUCUUUCGCCUUUUACUAAAGAAUACCGUGUGCUCGCAGCUCAAGGCAGCAUACGCCUAUUUUUGGAGGCUUAAUUCCUUUAUUGGAGU